CGGAUUGAAGGCUGAAAUUCGCCUUCAUGAAGUCGGAAUUGCUAGUAAUGGCAGGUCAGCAUACUGCCGUGAAUACGUUCCCGGGCCUUGUACACACCGCCCGUCACACCAUGAGAGUUGGAGAUACCCGAAGCCUAUGAGCUAACUUUUAGAGGCAGUAGUCGAAGGUAGAAUCAAUGAUUGGGGUGAAGUCGUAACAAGGUAUC
RNAcentral lists this ribosomal RNA (206 nucleotides) under uncultured bacterium. Its description in RNAcentral is "partial 16S ribosomal RNA". It matches the Rfam family "Bacterial small subunit ribosomal RNA", at positions 1294 to 1500 of the family's 1533-position model. The record is from RNAcentral.